UACGAUGGGCCGAAUUUAGCAGGCUUGGUUGAUGGCGGGUACGAACGAGCCUCCUCUCUCAUCAAGCGCAAAGACCGAGUUUAAGAUUGUAACCUCGUAGUUUUCGCUCAAGAGCAGAAGUGGAGAUCACAAAGAAGGUCUAAUGGCGUGUUCCUCUUAUUGCUGUUGAAAGAUGGAAGCGAAAGAAGCUGCUAACGAGUUUCAAAAGAAAGGCACAAAGCGUAGGAAGGGAGUGGAAGACAGUAGCAAAAGAUCUGGGAAUGCGGGUGCUCCACGUACGCGUUCUCAGGUAGCUCCUGACUGGACCACCAAGGAAGCACUCAUUCUUGUCAACGAGAUUGCUGCUGUUGAAGGGGAUUGUUUAAGAGUUUUGUCUUCCUACCAGAAAUGGAAAAUUAUAGUCGAAAACUGUACUGUUUUGGAUUUACCACGCACUGCGAAUCAGUGUCGGAGCAAGUGGAAUUCGUUGCUGGCUGAGUACAACCAGAUCAAACAAUGGGAUUCCAAGUCCAAGAACGAUUCGUAUUGCUUUUUGGACUGUGAAAGGAGAAAACAAUUAGGACUUCCUGAGAAUUUUGACAACGAGCUCUUCAAAGCUAUUGACGAUUAUGUGAGGGCACAGAAGGACCGCCCGGAUACGGAUCCAGAUACUGAUCCGGAAGCACAGGCUGACCUGCUUCAUGUAAUAGCAAAACUUGGGUCCAAGAGAAAACUUAAUGCAUUACUAGGAGAAAAGCCUCAAAAUUGCUGCACAAAGGAACAGCCUCUGAAAUUCCAUACUGGAGAGGAACCUCAGAAUAGUUGGAAGGGAGAAAAUCCUCAGAUGUGCUGUGAAAAGGAAAAGCCUCAGAAUAUCCAGGCUGAAGAGAAACCUCAGAAGACUCUUAUGGAAGAGAAGCCUAAAAAUGACUGCACACAAAAAAGGAAGAUAACUGGCACAGAAGAAAUGGACCAAAUGAUGGUGGACAGGCUGCGAGAGAAUGCAGAAUUGAUCCAUGCUAUAGUUCAAGAAAACCCUCCUGAGAUAGCAGACUUUGGGGCCGCUGAUUUUGUAAGAGGUCAAGGGGACAAGCUUAUUGCAUGCCUUGGUGAUAUUGUAAAUAUCCUUAACCAAUGUCCUCAUCUUGUCCAAGCCAGUGACUAGCUGAUGAAUCUCGUUAAAUUUAACUUUCAGAGUACUGGUGGAAUUCUGUAGCUAUCUUGACUAGAACCAGUGGAAUUAAGUGUUGCUGUCUAGCUUAUGAUCUGGUAUGUCAUAUGUGAUGGGAAAGGCAAUAAAUUGUCAUGUAGUUUGUGGAGAUGGCGUCAAAAUUUGCCGGGGACCAGGAUUUGAUCCAUUGGUUCAGAAGUGAUUAUUGAAUAUAUUCGACCAUGGAGUCAAUUGUUCGGCAAUCAUUGGGAAGAAAACAUAUUUCUACAGUCUUUGCCUGAUUGAAUAGUCAACCGGUGCAGAUGUUAAUACUGCUCUUCGAAAAGGUUCCUUCCAAGCUUGUCCCAUGUUGGUCGUCGGAUGUGUGGGAAGAUUUUGGCCUGUCGUGUGUCUGCAGAGAUAUUUUUUAGAUAAAAGGCGCUCGCAUAGACUUUUUUAAGGAGAGAAUAAUAGAUAUGACAUUUUUUUUACAAUAAUAAAAGAUGUAACAUUAUAAUCA
Molecule: RNA transcript, 1649 nt
Organism: Hevea brasiliensis (rubber tree)
Lineage: Eukaryota; Viridiplantae; Streptophyta; Magnoliopsida; Malpighiales; Euphorbiaceae
Gene name: trihelix transcription factor ASR3
Exons: 4
Source: RefSeq, a predicted model, not a curated record